RNAcentral lists this long non-coding RNA (1030 nucleotides) under Gadus morhua (Atlantic cod). RNAcentral describes it as "lncRNA (ENSGMOG00000027925.1)". The record is from RNAcentral. Lineage: Eukaryota; Metazoa; Chordata; Actinopteri; Gadiformes; Gadidae.
AUGAGUUACUUUUUUCUUCUCAGAUGGAAGCCGAACACUACCUUACGGCAAACGCCAAAGGUUGGACAAUGCAGACCUAUUCGAAGGUAUUGGAGCCAUUGGAGUUUGAUGGUAUUUACCCAUGUCCACGCUACAAUGAUGAUCUUUGAACUCUCUCUUGCCGAAUCCAACUUUGAAGAAACUUCUUUACCAGAUUCUGAGUAACCCAACGGAGCCCACCUCAGUUCAAUAAGACUUGACGAGAUUUAAAAUCCCCUUUUUCUCACAGACUGUAUGGACAGAACAAGGAUGAUGGCUGCCUAGAAUGGUGAGUGUUCCGUUUUUUAAUAACUGAAUAAAAUGACGGGGUGUAGUGAUGAUUAUCCAAUAGACAAGCAUAUGGCUGAUUUUUAGUGAUGCCAAUUUUAAUCUGAUUAACCUCAAGAGACUGUUUCAUCUUAAACUACAGUUUCUAGAAGUGUGGCUAACAAGUUCUCUCUGCAGGUGGGAAUGUGAAAUAGCUUCACAAACCUGGACUUCGGCCAGUUUGUCCAAUGGAGGACAUUGUUGAGGUGAGUCCCACAAGAUCUUAAUGCUAGUCAACUUUACCGUGUUUCAAUGACGAUAAACCUAGCUCACUUUGAACCGAUGUGAAACUAUACAAACUUACUGAGAAACUUCAGAUUCCAUAUGAAUGGGACUAUAUUGGAAAGUUGCUAAUGUCUAUUUCUGCCAACAGACAUGGGAGUUGAUGGAGGACAUGGGAGUUGAUGGUGUGGUGAGAUUGUCAUUCAAAACCGCCCAUAAUUAAAGGUGAGGAUUCGUAUUUGUAAAAAAAAAAAUAAAAAAGUAUAUCGGUCGGCUUGAAAUGAUGAUCAUAAAUUAGAAUCUCGUUCGUCUGAAUUACUGAUGAGAAACCUAACCUGACUCAGGCCUAGGUAAUCUGCUGGAUUAAUGGGACCAUUUCUGUCAAAGCCUAACCAUCUCAUUUUGCUUUAGGUGUCAUGGUGCUGGUGUUAAGAGACUACUUCUACUCCAACCAAGGUGGGUG